RNAcentral lists this ribosomal RNA (448 nucleotides) under uncultured bacterium. RNAcentral's name for it is "partial 16S ribosomal RNA". It matches the Rfam family "Bacterial small subunit ribosomal RNA", at positions 329 to 797 of the family's 1533-position model. The record is from RNAcentral.
UCCCAGACUCCUACGGGAGGCAGCAGUGGGGAAUAUUGCACAAUGGGGGAAACCCUGAUGCAGCGACGCCGCGUGAGCGAUGAAGUAUUUCGGUAUGUAAAGCUCUAUCAGCAGGGAAGAAAAUGACGGUACCUGACUAAGAAGCCCCGGCUAACUACGUGCCAGCAGCCGCGGUAAUACGUAGGGGGCAAGCGUUAUCCGGAUUUACUGGGUGUAAAGGGAGCGUAGACGGCCAUGCAAGCCAGGGGUGAAAGCCCGGGGCCCAACCCCGGGACUGCCCUUGGAACUGCAUGGCUGGAGUGCGGGAGGGGCAGGCGGAAUUCCUGGUGUAGCGGUGAAAUGCGUAGAUAUCAGGAGGAACACCGGCGGCGAAGGCGGCCUGCUGGACCGCGACUGACGUUGAGGCUCGAAAGCGUGGGGAGCGAACAGGAUUAGAUACCCGAGUACA